GGACCAAGGAGUCUAGCAUGUGCGCGAGUCAUUGGGAUAUUUAUGAAACCUAAAGGCGUAAUGAAAGUGAAGGUUCGCCUUGCGCGAACCGAGGGAGGAUGGACGGUUCCGAGGAAACGUCUCGCACUCCCGGGGCGUCUCGCUCUCAUCGCGAGAAGAGGCGCACCCAGAGCGUACACGCUGGGACCCGAAAGAUGGUGAACUAUGCCUGGUCAGGACGAAGUCAGGGGAAACCCUGAUGGAGGUCCGUAGCGAUUCUGACGUGCAAAUCGAUCGUCGGAACUGGGUAUAGGGGCGAAAGACUAAUCGAACCAUCUAGUAGCUGGUUCCCUCCGAAGUUUCCCUCAGGAUAGCUGGCGCUCGCUUCUCGCGAGUCUCAUUCGGUAAAGCGAAUGAUUAGAGGCAUUGGGGUCGAAACGGCCUCAACCUAUUCUCAAACUUUAAAUGGGUGAGAUCUCCGGCUUGCUUGAACUAUGAAGCCGCGAGAUAUCGGAUCAGAGUGCCAAGUGGGCCACUUUUGGUAAGCAGAACUGGCGCUGUGGGAUGAACCAAACGCUGAGUUAAAGCGCCUAAAUCGACGCUUAUGGGAUACCAUGAAAGGCGUUGGUAACUUAAGACAGCAGGACGGUGGCCAUGGAAGUCGGA
RNAcentral lists this ribosomal RNA (645 nucleotides) under Tetraserica liangheensis. RNAcentral's name for it is "eukaryotic LSU rRNA". It matches the Rfam family "Eukaryotic large subunit ribosomal RNA", at positions 663 to 1265 of the family's 3401-position model. Lineage: Eukaryota; Metazoa; Arthropoda; Insecta; Coleoptera; Scarabaeidae. The record is from RNAcentral.